AGGGGCAGUCCACUCACCAUCUUCUUCAUCAUCCCAGUCCUCAGGCU
Molecule: small RNA, 47 nt
Filed under: Arabidopsis thaliana (thale cress)
Lineage: Eukaryota; Viridiplantae; Streptophyta; Magnoliopsida; Brassicales; Brassicaceae
Description: ATSL056830
Source: RNAcentral